GGCUGGUUAGCUCAGUCAGUUGGGCGUGGCGCUAACAACGCCAAGGUCGCGGGUUCAAUUCCCAUUCGAUCCC
RNAcentral lists this transfer RNA (73 nucleotides) under Apaloderma vittatum (bar-tailed trogon). It matches the Rfam family "tRNA". From Rfam's summary of the family: Transfer RNA (tRNA) molecules are approximately 80 nucleotides in length. Their secondary structure includes four short double-helical elements and three loops (D, anti-codon, and T loops). The record is from Rfam by way of RNAcentral. Lineage: Eukaryota; Metazoa; Chordata; Aves; Trogoniformes; Trogonidae.